This is a long non-coding RNA of Glycine soja, 2221 nucleotides long. RefSeq lists it as uncharacterized. NCBI's taxonomy places the organism in Eukaryota, Viridiplantae, Streptophyta, Magnoliopsida, Fabales, Fabaceae. The transcript is spliced from 6 exons. The record is from RefSeq and is a predicted model, not a curated record.
UCCAAUCUUCCAUUUUGCCCUCUUUUCUCAUCCUCGAAUUGAAUCUAGCUUCUGCAGUUAUCACGAACCAACCUUCAAAUUCUUCAAUCCCAAGCUAUUCACAAACCAACCUCCAACUUUCUCUCCAACACUUUUCCCAAGUCGAAGAAAAGUUUUGUUUUUAUUCUUCAAUAAUGUAUUUCUGUUGUGCCCCGAUCUGUUUCAGGUGAUCUUUAUUCAUGUGGAAUCGAAUAAUGAAGAUGCAGGAAAGCCUGUUGCAGAUUAUUUUGGAAUCACAGGGAAUGAUCCCAAAGUAAUAAUUUCCCGUCUCUUCUUUAUUUUAUUUUUGUGGUUGAGUCACGGGAUUCUUCUCUUGUUAUUUUGCAGUAGAUUAUUUUGCAUACACAAGAAAUGAUGAUGGAAGAAAAAAUUUGCUUGAUGGAGAGGUCACUAUUGACACAAUUACGGUCAUGGUAAGCAGGGUAGCUGGCACCUAUUUUCCGAGGAACCUGAUGAUGGGUAUGCGAUUUCUCAGUCCACCAAUUUAUUUAUACAUGAUUUUUUUAUGCUUAUGCAGGGUUGUGGGAUCUGAGUUUGUGCAAAAGUAUGUUGGUGAGGGUCCACGAAUGAAACAACUCUUUGUUGAGAUCUAAUGCUACCCUUUUCUCUGAUGGCCAUCAUCACCAAUCACAAAUGUUGAGCUUCUCUUCUCCAAAGUCAGAGUCUUUGUUGGUAGAUAAGGCUUCCUCAAAUGCCACAUUGCCUUUUUCUUACCACCAAUUGUCUAGCAACACCAGAAAUGCAGGAGAUUUGCUUCGUAUUGUAGAACUUCAAGAGGAAGUUUAUGGACUCAAGCAAGGAUCACACACUGUAACAGAUUACUACACAAAACUAAAGUGAAUUUGGGAGGAACUCAACAAUUACCGUCCCAUGAUUCCAUGCAUGCACAUGCUCAGCCAAAGUCUACCACGACUAGGAUUUCAUUAUUCGAUUCCUUAAAGGACUUGCUGAGCAUUUUUCUGUUUCUCAUGGAACCACUGCCUUCAACCAAUAGAGUCUUCUCUAUGGUCAUUCAAUAUGAAAGGCAACAACUACCAGGACAAGCUAUUGUGGAGGAGCAAAAUAGCUUUGCCAAUGCUGCUGAGAAACGUCACUUUUCUAACAAAGGAAAAGGAGUUUCUUAUGAUGGUGCUAAGGGAAAUCCCACUCACAACAGUGGAAAUCAAGGCUCAAACAAAGAGUGGACACACAAGUCACACUGUGGGCGUUUGUUACAGCAAGCAUGGACAACCUCUUAGGCAUCCUCGCUAUCCCGAAAGGCCAGGAUACCAUAAUCAUGCAUCCAGUGGAGCUGCUGCUAACAACAUCGCUGCAAAUGCAGUCCAUGAAGCAACAAAAAACAAUGGAAAUGAGGAAGAUUCAUUUGGACUAAGUUUGAAUGUCGCACCAGCAUAAUAUCAACGUUUUAUUGUUGUUCUCCAACAAACAUGUUUCAAAUGUCUCCGCUUAUUCCACACAAUUAUCUAAAGUUCAUGAAGCUUGGUUCUAAGCUUGAUACCUUUCAAACUGAUGGAAACAAUGUUAGGGAGUCAGGAGGAGCACCAAACUGAGUUUCAAAUUUCAACAUUCAACAGAGGCAGAAGCUGAUGAAGGAGAAAAACAAGAAAAGAAAAAGUAAAACAAAAAAGAAAGAAAAAAAGACAAUCAAUCAGAGAAUGAGUUGAUAUGGGAAUGAGCUGCUUGAAGAUGAUUGGCUUGCCUAAAUUGUAGAGGGUCUUUAUCACCUCACCAUCAGCAAACAUAACACAGUUCCUCCAACUAGACCAUCUUACAUGAACAACAUCACCACAACUCCAGUCACCAAUUCCAACAUUUGGCAUUUUAGAUUAGGACAUUUGUAUGAAAAUUGUUUAAAUGUUUUGCAUCAACAAUUCCCCUGUAUUCCAAAGUUUAUCAAUGAAACAUGUGAUGUUUGUCAUUUGGCUAAUCAACCAAAGCUACCAUAUUCUUAGUAAAGCUUUUAGGAUUGUAUUAAGAGCUAGGCAGUCAGAACAAAAAUUUGGUUACAAACAACUUGACUCCUCCUUCGUGUCCCAAAAUACAGAAGUUGACAAAUAGUCAAUAGCACCCUGUAGCAGGAUAGAGGAUUAAGCAUGUUGUUAAUAGUGCAUGAUAACUAUAACAAGCCUUAUUUUGAUUGUCUUGAGAGUUAGGCAGGCAAAACGGAAUUUUUGUUGACCUC